GUCUCAAAGGAGUGCAACCACGGGCAGCAGAUACCACUGCAACGGGUCCUCUCUUUCAGCAGCGCCCUUAUCCAUCUCCUGGAGCAGUCUUGCGUAAAAAUGCUGAAAUUGCUUCUCAAAGGAAAAAUACUAAGUCGAUUCUGACCCCUAUAUCCAAGAGAGGUGAUGGUAGUGAUGGACUGGGUGAUGCUGAUUGAAGAAUUUAAGCCAUUGUGUUAUAUUUAACUUUAAAUGAGGAUUCACAGAAAGGGAACUUUUCCCAGUUGAAGUUGCUGCACCACAAGGCGCUAGACAUUAUUUCCUUUUCUUCUUGACGUACUGCUGAAAGAGUUUCAUCCUAAAAUGCUAUAGGCAUGUAGAACAUAUAAUCUGCAGUUGAAAUGCUAGCGUCUAAAUUCCUUCUUCUUCGUCUUCUUCAGAAAAGACUUCCAAACUUCAUAAACAGGGACUGCUGUAGGAGCAUAAUAUUUAUUGUAAUGUUUGGCAUACGGUUCCUGUAACCAGAGAAUUGAGUAGUUUUUUUUUUCUUCUUUUUUGAGAAAGA
This 544-nucleotide unclassified non-coding RNA is filed under the name Hevea brasiliensis (rubber tree). Lineage: Eukaryota; Viridiplantae; Streptophyta; Magnoliopsida; Malpighiales; Euphorbiaceae. The record is from RNAcentral.